GGACCAUCAUGUCGGUCGUGCCUCGGUACGUACUGGUAUUGUUGGUUUCUCCCUUCUGAAGAACCACGAUGUCAUUAAUUUGGUGUCAUGGGGAAUCAGGACUGUUACUUUGAAAAAAUUAGAGUGUUUAAAGCAGGCUUAUUAGGCUUGAAUACAUUAGCAUGGAAUAAUGAAAUAGGACGAUUGAUCCUAUUUUUGUUGGUUUCUAGGAUUGACGUA
This 219-nucleotide ribosomal RNA is filed under the name Campeiostachys nutans. RNAcentral describes it as "Elymus nutans partial small subunit ribosomal RNA". The stretch from base 46 to 219 matches the Rfam family "Eukaryotic small subunit ribosomal RNA", at positions 693 to 864 of the family's 1831-position model. Lineage: Eukaryota; Viridiplantae; Streptophyta; Magnoliopsida; Poales; Poaceae. The record is from RNAcentral.